GGACGAACGCUGGCGGCGUGCCUAGUACAUGCAAGUAGAACGCACAGUUUAUACCGUAGCUUGCUACACCAUAGACUGUGAGUUGCGAACGGGUGAGUAACGCGUAGGUAACCUGCCUGGUAGCGGGGGAUAACUAUUGGAAACGAUAGCUAAUACCGCAUAAUAUUGAUUAUUGCAUGAUAAUUGAUUGAAAGAUGCUAUUGCAUCACUACCAGAUGGACCUGCGUUGUAUUAGCUAGUAGGGGAGGUAACGGCUCACCUAGGCGACGAUACAUAGCCGACCUGAGAGGGUGGUCGGCCACACUGGGACUGAGACACGGCCCAGACUCCUACGGGAGGCAGCAGUAGGGAAUCUUCGGCAAUGGACGAAAGUCUGACCGAGCAACGCCGCGUGAGUGAAGAAGGUUUUCGGAUCGUAAAGCUCUGUUGUAAGAGAAGAACGGGUGUGAGAGUGGAAAGUUCACACUGUGACGGUAUCUUACCAGAAAGGGACGGCUAACUACGUG
Molecule: ribosomal RNA, 506 nt
Filed under: uncultured bacterium
Lineage: Bacteria
Description: partial 16S ribosomal RNA
Rfam family: Bacterial small subunit ribosomal RNA
Source: RNAcentral